UGGCGGCGUGCUUAACACAUGCAAGUCGAACGGAAAGGCCCUGCUUUUGUGGGGUGCUCGAGUGGCGAACGGGUGAGUAACACGUGAGUAACCUGCCCUUGACUUUGGGAUAACUUCAGGAAACUGGGGCUAAUACCGGAUAGGAGCUCCUGCUGCAUGGUGGGGGUUGGAAAGUUUCGGCGGUUGGGGAUGGACUCGCGGCUUAUCAGCUUGUUGGUGGGGUAGUGGCUUACCAAGGCUUUGACGGGUAGCCGGCCUGAGAGGGUGACCGGCCACAUUGGGACUGAGAUACGGCCCAGACUCCUACGGGAGGCAGCAGUGGGGAAUAUUGCACAAUGGGCGGAAGCCUGAUGCAGCAACGCCGCGUGCGGGAUGACGGCCUUCGGGUUGUAAACCGCUUUCGCCUGUGACGAAGCGUGAGUGACGGUAAUGGGUAAAGAAGCACCGGCUA
Molecule: ribosomal RNA, 451 nt
Filed under: Cutibacterium acnes
Lineage: Bacteria; Bacillati; Actinomycetota; Actinomycetes; Propionibacteriales; Propionibacteriaceae
Description: bacterial SSU rRNA
Rfam family: Bacterial small subunit ribosomal RNA
Source: RNAcentral